RNAcentral lists this ribosomal RNA (260 nucleotides) under uncultured bacterium. RNAcentral's name for it is "partial 16S ribosomal RNA". It matches the Rfam family "Bacterial small subunit ribosomal RNA", at positions 524 to 784 of the family's 1533-position model. The record is from RNAcentral.
GACAGAGGGUGCAAACGUUGCUCGGAAUUACUGGGCGUAAAGCGCGUGUAGGCGGCUUUGUAAGUCCAACGUGAAAGCCCGGGGCUCAACCCCGGAGUGCGUAGGAUACUGCGAAGCUGGAGUCCUGAAGAGGAGAGCGGAAUUCCCGGUGUAGAGGUGAAAUGCGUAGAUAUAGGAAGGAACACUAGUGGCGAAGGCGACUACCUGGACUGAUACUGACACUGAGGUGCGAAAGCGUGGGGAGCAAACAGGAUUAGAAA